UAAUUGAAGAGUUUGAUCAUGGCUCAGAUUGAACGCUGGCGGCAGGCCUAACACAUGCAAGUCGAGCGGUAACAGGGGAAGCUUGCUUCUCGCUGACGAGCGGCGGACGGGUGAGUAAUGUAUGGGGAUCUGCCCGAUAGA
This 141-nucleotide ribosomal RNA is filed under the name Providencia rettgeri. RNAcentral's name for it is "partial 16S ribosomal RNA". It matches the Rfam family "Bacterial small subunit ribosomal RNA", at positions 1 to 137 of the family's 1533-position model. The record is from RNAcentral. Lineage: Bacteria; Pseudomonadati; Pseudomonadota; Gammaproteobacteria; Enterobacterales; Morganellaceae.